GCGGGCGUAGUUCAAAGGUAGAACGAAAGCUUCCCAAGCUUUAGAUGAGGGUUCGAUUCCCUCCGUCCGCUCCA
This 74-nucleotide transfer RNA is filed under the name Rhodospirillales bacterium. Its description in RNAcentral is "tRNA-Gly". It matches the Rfam family "tRNA". From Rfam's summary of the family: Transfer RNA (tRNA) molecules are approximately 80 nucleotides in length. Their secondary structure includes four short double-helical elements and three loops (D, anti-codon, and T loops). Further hydrogen bonds mediate the characteristic L-shaped molecular structure. tRNAs have two regions of fundamental functional importance: the anti-codon, which is responsible for specific mRNA codon recognition, and the 3' end, to which the tRNAs corresponding amino acid is attached (by aminoacyl-tRNA synthetases). tRNAs cope with the degeneracy of the genetic code in two manners: having more than one tRNA (with a specific anti-codon) for a particular amino acid; and 'wobble' base-pairing, i.e. permitting non-standard base-pairing at the 3rd anti-codon position. The record is from RNAcentral. Lineage: Bacteria; Pseudomonadati; Pseudomonadota; Alphaproteobacteria; Rhodospirillales.